CUCUCGGCGAGCAGCGAAAACAUUCGCUCCCCUUGCCAGCGUUUGGGAUGAGCAACCUCCGGGGUAUCCACAGUGCGAGUCCUGCGAACACAUAACCUCUCGGCUGCAAAAUAGGUGGUGGUCGAGGGAGCCGAACUGACGAAUGUAACACGCACGGGCUCCUGCUGCACGGGAGGGUCCGCGCCCCCACUGAAGUGACACAGCCACCUGCGUGGCUUCCCGGGGGAAAAGCUGAGGGCCUGGGGGCGCUGGGGCAGCAGAUGGGCUCGAGGUGUGUGGCCGGAGGAGCAGGCUGCGGGAGCGCCUGGGAUUCGGGCACCCUGACCGACAGUAACCCCGCCGCCAGCGCCGCCGCCAAAUGUCUCAGAAACAGUUGUUCCAGGUACUAUGCCAGUCCUAAGGAAGAUAAAUGUGUUUAACCUCACAGAACAAAGCGCUCUCCUGCAACCUGAACAUGCUGAAACAAAGCAUUGCUGCUGCAGAGGACAGCACAGGGGGCUGCAAGUAUAUUUCAGUAGAGGAGGAAAAAUAAAGCUAGUAUGAACCUUCAAA
Molecule: long non-coding RNA, 552 nt
Organism: Haemorhous mexicanus (house finch)
Lineage: Eukaryota; Metazoa; Chordata; Aves; Passeriformes; Fringillidae
Exons: 2
Source: RefSeq, a predicted model, not a curated record